Molecule: long non-coding RNA, 3852 nt
Filed under: Ornithorhynchus anatinus (platypus)
Lineage: Eukaryota; Metazoa; Chordata; Mammalia; Monotremata; Ornithorhynchidae
Description: lncRNA (ENSOANG00000045535.1)
Source: RNAcentral
CUUCCGUAAUAUAGUACAGAGCCCAUUGUAUUGCUCUCUGUGUCUUCUAUGUUGCUCAAAUCAGGUCUGGGGGCUAUGUUUUGGCCUGAACACAAGUGGUGGAACCGGGAUUAGAACCCAUGACCUUCUGACUCCCAGGCCUGUGCUCUAUCUACUAUGCCAUGCUGCUUCUCAGAAUACAGUGACCUGACCAGCUUGUGGAUGACCACCUCUUCUCCAGGCCAAGCUGACUGCAUCCACACAAAGGAUAUCGUCAUUUAAAGCCAAUUAGACCGAGCCCAAGCCUUGUAAGUCAGAUGACCUUGACACAGAUGAUCAGAUAAGAACACAAGACCGCUACUUCUGGGUGACACCAGCAUUCUGUCCUUGAUCAUGGCAGCCAAAUGGGGAAGAUGGGAAGAAUUCAUAUUCAAAGAAUCCCUACUUGGUCUUAAAUACGGCAGGGGGGCGACGAGGAUGCUGGGGAGAAGAUGCAUUCCCCCCACGGCAAGCUCUGACUGUUAUGCUUUCCUUUUGUGGUGGUGGGUCCCCAGAGGAAUAAAAGGUGGCCUGCCAAGGUACAAGUGUACGCUACAGAAUAUGGCUGCUUUGGCUCCUCUCCUGUCUGACACCCUCUCGACUCAUCUUAAAGAGACCCAGCAGGGAAGAGUAGAGCGGACCAUCCCCCCGCCCAACCCCCUUAGUCACUAGUAUCCCCUCAUGACUGGUUUUGGGUGGUCAGCCUUUAUUCUGUGGAGAUUAGAUGACCACAGAACCAUGCGGUCAUGGAGGGGCCCGUUUUCUUGACGGAGCAUUUCGUGUACCUUUUAAAAAGGAAUUUGUCAGACUCCUGCAUUCUUAUUAAGUAGUUAUCUAAAGAUUCAAAUUAGGCACCUAUACACAUUUUCAUGGAAGAAGGGUAGACCCUUCUUAUGAUGAAUUUACUAAACAACGCUUCUACAGCCAGAGACACUGUAGGUGAUUGUACAUUAUGAAAUUCUUCUCAAUUCAUAAUUAACUGCGAUCAUAAAUUUUCCAGUUAGGUGCAGUCAGUAUGUAAGUCCACCAUUGCUUUGCCAUUCAGCUUGGAUAGACUCUGAUAGCCUACUCUUGGGGAAAGAAGAUAAUGAGUAGCCUAGAGUCUUCUUACUGCAUCCAUGACAGACUUGGACCUUUUUUCUUUGUUUUCAUCUUCUGUUGGCUAAAGAUAUCUCUAAUUCCCCAGCCCUUCUGUCCCUUGCCAUUAAAUGAAAAUGAGUAAGUGAUGAAGCAUUAUGGUCAGUAUUUGAACUCAGUGUAGAAUGAUGGAUGAUUAAAGUAGUUGCAGCCUAUAAGGCAGUACUGCUGUUUGUUAUGCUGGAAGCUUCUCAUUAAUGGAAUGCUUCUUCUACUCAUGCAAGCGUCACAUCUCUUGGGAAAGUAAUUGAGAUUUUUAAAGUCUAGUCUGUUCUGGUUCCAAUUUUUGAUAACUCUUCCCUCCUUAGAUUUUUGUUCCUGAGAAGAUUUUUAACCUUUAUGAUCUCUUUCUUACCGUGGAUGUUUAUUUGGUUUACUGCUUUGGUUUAGGAGAGGCCAGCGACUGGAAUGGGAAGCUGAUGGGAUUAAAUGACUCCUUACACCCUAGUGGGGUGAUUGCUGAAGGUUACACUUGAGGUCAUUGGCUGGACAAUAGAAAGAAAGUCAUGCUUUGGCUGACUGUACAGUACAUUUGGCUGGGGGAACCAAAGCUGACACUUGUUUGAGUGAUGAGAGAAGAAAAUAUUCAGCCUUUCACUCUGAGAAACAAACAAGUCCAGACUAGAGCCAGUCGACUGGAGCUCUGGGGUUUACAGGACUCCUGAGCCUAGGAUGCAUUGCUGUCCGUAGUAUAUGUUUAUUUGUGGUUGGGAGAAAGUGUUUGGCCCAUGAGAAAUAUCCAAAAUUGGAGUAAUCUUUAAGAGCAUCUCAGUUAGGUGGCUGCCUGGCCUGUUUUUCAAGCUCUUGGAAGACUUUGAUCCCUUUCCCCACCUAACCGGAUCUGUGUGAGGGGAACAGAAGUAGACCCUUUCUUAAAUAGUUUGUGUUUAAUAUAAUGAUGAUGAUGAUAAUAAGGUAGUUGUUAAGUGCUUAUUAUGUACCAAGCACUGGGGUAGAUACAAGAUGAUCAAGUUGGACACAUUUUUAUUAUACUUAAGUGCUUACUGUCGAGCACUGUUCUAAGUGCUGGUGUAGAUACAAGUUAAUCAGUUCAGAAGAUGGAUAAAAGACUAGCUGUUCCUCGUGGAAGCUGUUAUCCACUGUCACCCCUUGCAUUUCAAGCAGGGACCAUUUCAAGCCCUGCCCCUCUCUCGCCUCUGGUCUCUUGGCCCCCAGCCCUACCGAGUGCCAGUGGAAAGGGGGUCCGGGCCGGUGUGGGCUACUGGUCCUCCCUCACCCAGGCCUGUGGUGGGUAGCAGAGGGAAGGGGAGGAGGCUGCAUUAUACAACCUGGUUGUUCUUCUGCCCAAAGUAGUGUUCAAAGCACCUGUUGGCCUCCUCUCUUAAGGUGUCACGUGUCCGGGCAAAGGGAAGAGCUGCCAGGGGGAUCCAAACCCAGAUGCCCCUGGGAGAGGGGGCGGGCAGGAAUGGGUCCAUCUUCAAGAUGGGGAAACCUCAGUGCUCAGUUCAGUGCCUGGCACACAAUAAAUGCUUAAGAAAUAUAACAGAAAGCCAUUUAACUCUCUGUGCCUCAGUUUUCUCAUCUGUAACAUGGGGAUUUAAGACUUUGAGCCCCAAGUGAGACAUGAACUACAUCCAUCCUGAUUAACUUAUAUCUACCCCAGCUCUUUGUACAGUGCCUGGCACAUAGUAAGCAUUUAACAAAUACUAUUUUUUAAAAAAUGGGACUUGGGCCUUUUGUACUGCUCGUGGACUUGGACGGUUGCUGGAAGCAUGGCUUCUAAGUGGAAAAGACUAGGUUAGUAAGACAGGAAAAGUCUGAUGGCAACUGUGUGGAGCAUAUGGAUUUUUAAACUGAAUUCUCUUGUAAAUUUCAAAGUGAAAAGAAUAGUUUAAUAAUGGAAAGCACAGUGGCAGGGGUAUUGAAUGCUCUGUAUAUUCAUCAGAGGCAGAAUUAAAACCUGUCUACCACUUUUUCGGGACUAUAAAAUUAGAGAUUAUAUGAACUGUUGUCAUAGUGUAAUGAUUUCAUGUCUGACAGAUCUUUGGCACCUGCUCAAGGAUGUGGUAAUCCGAGUAUGUCAUUCUGAAGCUGAGGUUUUAGUGAGCCGAGAGUACUAAUAUCAAAAGCGAAGCUUAAAACAGUGUCUAUCGAAGCAGGAUUGUAAAGUGGACUAACUAGCUCGCUAGAGGCUCAGGCUAACACUCUCCCAUAAUUACAUGAUUUUGCCUACCUGUUGCAUUUUUACAGUUUUUAUUCUCUGGUGCAAACUGUGUCAGUAAAAGUUGUUGGUAUGAGGUGCUUCAUCAUUCUUCGUGUUUACUGAUUGAGGGAAAUGAGGCAGAUGUUAAAUAAUGAACUCUGGGAAUUCCCCUUCACCAGCAAUUAAAUAAUGGAACCCAGAUGUUGGUCAUGAUACCCAGGCAUGUCUAGGCAAAAAUGUUGAAUUAUCAAUACACAAUCCCACAUCACCGGUUCUAAACAGUCUUUCUCCCUAGCUGGAUUUGUCUAACUUUUGACUGUUGCCACAGAAAAAUUGUCAGAGGAUCUGAGCAGGUUUUUUGGAAUUGGACAAAUCUGACAAGGUAAACAUCAUGGGAUAUUGAAAAGCACGGAUGAAUCAACUACAGACCCUUGGAAAGCUAAAUACCGAUGGUCUGCUCAUGCUCAGAGAACAGGGCUGGUAUCAAGAAGUAGCAUGGCCCAGUGGAAAGAACACAGGCCUGGGAGUCAGAG